GGUUUGAUAUUUGUGGGCCAGAUUGAACGCUGGCGGGAUGCUUUACACAUGCAAGUCGAACGGCAGCACGGACUUCGGGUCUGGUGGCGAGGGCGGAACGGGUGAGUAAUGCAUUGAACGCCUAGUAGCGGGGGAGCACUACGCGAAAGGUAGCUAAUGUCGUACGCCCUUCGGGGGAAAGCGGGGACCUUCGGCCCGCACCAUUAGAGCGGCCGAUAUCGGAUUAGCUAGUUGGUGGGGUAACGGCUCACCAAGACGACGAUCCGUAGCUGGUUUGAGAGGACGACCAGCCACACUGGGACCGAGACACGGCUCCAGACUCCUACGGGAGGCAGCAGUGGGGAAUUUUGAAUGUGGGGGGAAACCCGGAUCCAGCCAUCCUGGGCGUGUGCGAUGAAGGCCUUCGGGUUGUAAAGCACUUUUGGCAGUGAAAGAAACGGCACGGGAUAAUACCCGUGCAACUGACGGUACCUGCAGAAUAAGCACCGGUUAACUACGUGCCAGCAGCUGCGGUAAUACGUAGGGUGCAAGCGUUAAUCGGAAUUACUGGGCGAAGCGUGCGUGCAGGCGGUUCGGAAAGAAAGAUGAAAUCCCAGAGCUUAACUUUGGAACUGCAUUUUUAACUACCGAGCUAGAGGUGUCAGAGGGAGAAUUCCGCGUAGCAGUGAAGAAAUGCGUAGAUAUGCGGAGGAACACCGAUGGCGAAGCGCAGCCUCCGGAUAACACUGACGCUCAUGCACGAAAGCGUGGGGAGCAAACAGGAUUAUUACUCUGGUAGUCCACGCCCUAAACGAUGUCAACUAGCUGUUAGCCUUCGGGCCUUGCGCGCAGCUAACGCGUGCUGACUGCCUGGGGAGUACGGUCGCAAGAUUAAACUCAAAGGAAUUGACGGACCCGCACAAGCGGUGGAUGAUGUGGAUUACCUGAUGCAACGCGAAAAACCUUACCACCUUUGAGAUGUCUUUGAAGAAGAAGAGACGUCGGCAGUGCUCGCAAGAGAACUGAACACAGGUGUUGGUAUGGCUGUCGUCAUGCUCGUGUCGUGAGAUGUUGGGUUAAGUCCCGCAACGGAGCGCAACCCUUGUCAUUAGUUGCUACGAGGGCACCUCCCAUCGAGACUGCCGGUGACAAACUGAGGAAGCGUGGGAAGACGUCAAGUCCUCAUGGCCCUUAUGGGUAGGGCUUCACACGUCAUGCAAUGGUCGGGGACAGAGGUCGCCAACCCGCGAGGGGAGCCAAUCCUGAAUCCCUGAUCAACCGGAUCGCAGUCUGCAACUCGGACUGCGCGGAAGUCGGAAUCGCUAGUAAUCGCGGAUCAGCAUGUCGCGGUGAAUAUUGCCCUUAGGUCUUGUACACACCGCCUGUCACAACGAUGCGGGAGGUUCUACCGCAGAAGAAGUUAGCCAACCGCAAGGGGGCGAUUACCACGGUAGGAUUCAUGACUGGGGUGUCGUAACAAGGUAA
This 1464-nucleotide ribosomal RNA is filed under the name uncultured Bordetella sp. Its description in RNAcentral is "partial 16S-23S ribosomal RNA intergenic spacer". It matches the Rfam family "Bacterial small subunit ribosomal RNA". The record is from RNAcentral. Lineage: Bacteria; Pseudomonadati; Pseudomonadota; Betaproteobacteria; Burkholderiales; Alcaligenaceae.